UGAGGAAUAUUGGUCAAUGGGCGAGAGCCUGAACCAGCCAAGUAGCGUGCAGGAUGACGGCCCUAUGGGUUGUAAACUGCUUUUAUGGGGGGAUAAAGUGCGUGACGUGUCAUGCAUUGCAGGUACCACAUGAAUAAGGACCGGCUAAUUCCGUGCCAGCAGCCGCGGUAAUACGGAAGGUCCGGGCGUUAUCCGGAUUUAUUGGGUUUAAAGGGAGCGUAGGCUGUCUAUUAAGCGUGUUGUGAAAUAUACCGGCUCAACCGGUGGAUUGCAGCGCGAACUGGUCGACUAGAGUGUGCAGGAAGUAGGCGGAAUUCAUGGUGUAGCGGUGAAAUGCUUAGAUAUCAUGACGAACUCCGAUUGCGCAGGCAGCUUCCUGUAGCAUAACUGACGCUGAUGCUCGAAAGUGCGGGUAUCAAACAGG
RNAcentral lists this ribosomal RNA (424 nucleotides) under Fusobacteriota bacterium. Its description in RNAcentral is "Fusobacteria bacterium partial 16S ribosomal RNA". It matches the Rfam family "Bacterial small subunit ribosomal RNA", at positions 355 to 776 of the family's 1533-position model. Lineage: Bacteria; Fusobacteriati; Fusobacteriota. The record is from RNAcentral.